Molecule: long non-coding RNA, 1443 nt
Filed under: Ailuropoda melanoleuca (giant panda)
Lineage: Eukaryota; Metazoa; Chordata; Mammalia; Carnivora; Ursidae
Description: lncRNA (ENSAMEG00000027017.1)
Source: RNAcentral
GUUUAGAAGGUUUGAAGACCUGGGGUAACCUCUGGUGUGUAUUUUCUGAGCAGUUUUCCACUUCAUUGUGGAAGACAUCUGAGUUUCUGGGAAAAUAGAAUCCAUAUGUCUCUGGCCCAUUUAUCCUGAAAACCCCGGGAAAACUUGCUUUGUAAGCAGCACGUGAGGGAGAAGAAAUGCUGGAGAGUUGUCAACCCAUUCUCUUCCAACGAGCUGCAUUUCCUUUCGCCAGCUUCACUCGCGAUGUCCUUGGAUUCUGUCCUAACCUGUUUCUCAACCGAUCAGUGCAGCUCACCAGUGACUUUUCUGGUGGUUUCUGUUUCAGAGCACAGACAUCUGCCAGUCCCCAGACACGCCUGGAAUGAGGCUCCCAUGGGCUGCACAGCCCCAGGCCCUGGCCACGCUGCCAUUGCCUUACCCCCUUCACCCUUUCUCCGGAUACACCUCUUCAUGGAAGGUGUCUCUUGGUGGUUCUUUAAUGUUCUGGGCAGAGAAUACAAGCCAGACUAAAGGAUCUCAGGUCUGUGGCCACUUAGAAGUGCCCUGGUGAGAGAGAACGAGGACAACCUUCACCGUGACGACUUUCCCAAGCUCGCGAUGUUCUGAAACACCCUGUGGGAAGCAGUAGGAAAAGCCUGUUACAAGAAGCUUGUUUUUAAUGCAUUGGAUAGAAUAUUGGUCAAAUCAUGCACUUACUUCCCAAUAGACAUGUUUUAUAUUAAAUCAUACAUAAUGUCUGCCGAGAUAUUCUUUUUCUCUUUAUGAUAAUAUUGUAAAAAUUGCAAUAUAUGUGCACCGAAUGGACUCAAUCUAUUCUCAUCACACAUAUUCCUUACUAUAAGAUAUUUAGGAAGGAAAACACUUUCCUAAAUGGAAGUUUAUGUUUCUUAAUCAAAUAAAUUCUUUUAAACAUUGUAGUGAGUUACAUAAAAUAACCCCAAUUCAAACUUACGAGAGAAAAAGAGGGAUUUCUUUGGCUCACAAGAUGGAGAAGUCCAGAGUGGGGAUCCAGCUCAAACAAUGUCGGCAUCCUGUUUCUCUCCCACAGCUGCCUUUGGACUUUCCCGCCAAACAGUGUAUUGCCAGCAUUCUAUCUACCCCCCACCCCAAGUGACAAGAAAGAUGGAUGGCAGGCCUCGAACUAACUGCUUCUUUUCAGAAUGGUGGAGGGUGCUAUCUUUCUGCGCCCAACCCCCAUUGCAAAAUGCUGGUGAAAGACUCUGAUUGACUUGAUGAAUCAGCCACCGAGGCUGGGUCACGUGCCCACCCUUCCUACGGGGUAUAGUAGUGAAUUGAUUAGGCAAUGACAGGCUAAGAUUGCAGCCCCACUAGGACCAGGGAGCUGAGAAGGAGCUCCCCGGAGGGAAGGACAUACCAAUGCCAGAAGAAGGAUAGAAAAAUAAGCUGGGCAGACAAAAAAGUAUUAAUUAGCUCAGCCUGUUC